Hevea brasiliensis (rubber tree) is the source of this 389-nucleotide long non-coding RNA. RefSeq lists it as uncharacterized. The transcript is spliced from 2 exons. The record is from RefSeq and is a predicted model, not a curated record. Lineage: Eukaryota; Viridiplantae; Streptophyta; Magnoliopsida; Malpighiales; Euphorbiaceae.
AAAAAAAAUAAAGAAGCACUAGAAGCUUUCAAUGAAAAGAACAAAGAGAAAGCUCAACUAAUUACCACAUUAAUGGAGCUGCUGACUGAGAGUGAAAGAUUAAGAAUGAAGAAACUGGAAGAACUGAGCAAGAAUGUAGAAUCCAAACCUUGACAUGUCUAUUGCAUUACACCAAUCAUUUUUCUAAUGUGUGGUUUUCCUUGAAUAAAGAUGUGUUUGGAAGUAGCCAAAAGUAUAUGGUCAGACUAAAAUUUAUCAUGAUUUAUUUUUACAAUUAGAAAAUAGAAUUUUGUUUUGCAUAAUAACAGAAAACAUUUGCACUCCAUGCAAUGCAUAGCCUCAUGUACCAUUUCAAUUAGUUGGUUCUAUUUUAAUGUAUUAAAAGUCAA